This 392-nucleotide ribosomal RNA is filed under the name uncultured bacterium. Its description in RNAcentral is "bacterial SSU rRNA". It matches the Rfam family "Bacterial small subunit ribosomal RNA", at positions 28 to 420 of the family's 1533-position model. The record is from RNAcentral.
GACGAACGCUGGCGGCGUGCUUAACACAUGCAAGUCGAGCGGUAAGGCCCCUUCGGGGGUACGACGAGCGGCGAACGGGUGAGUAACACGUGGGUGACCUGCCCUCAGCUCUGGGAUAAGCCUGGGAAACUGGGUCUAAUACCGGAUAUGACUCCAUGACGCAUGUCGUGGGGUGGAAAGCCUUGUGCGGCUGGGGAUGGGCCCGCGGCCUAUCAGCUUGUUGGUGGGGUGAUGGCCUACCAAGGCGACGACGGGUAGCCGGCCUGAGAGGGCGACCGGCCACACUGGGACUGAGACACGGCCCAGACUCCUACGGGAGGCAGCAGUGGGGAAUCUUGCGCAAUGGGCGAAAGCCUGACGCAGCGACGCCGCGUGAGGGAUGACGGCCUGGU